This 253-nucleotide ribosomal RNA is filed under the name uncultured bacterium. RNAcentral's name for it is "partial 16S ribosomal RNA". It matches the Rfam family "Bacterial small subunit ribosomal RNA", at positions 524 to 776 of the family's 1533-position model. The record is from RNAcentral.
AACGUAGGAGACAAACGUUAUCCGGAGUUACUGGGCGUAAAGGGCGUGUAGGCGGUUUGUUAAGUCUGGCGUGAAAGCUCUCGGCUAAACCGGGAGAGGUCGUUGGAUACUGGCGAACUAGAGGAUGGUAGAGGCGUGUGGAAUUCCGGGUGUAGUGGUGAAAUGCGUAGAUAUCAGGAGGGACACCGAUGGCGAAGGCAGGUCUCUGGGCUGACACUGACGCUCAUGCACGAAAGCGUGGGGAGCAAACAGG